AGAAUCAACGCUGGCGGCGUGCCUAACACAUGCAAGUCGAUCGAGAAAGUGGAGCAAUCCAUGAGUAAAGUGGCGCACGGGUGAGUAACACGUGACUAACCUACCCUUGAGUGGGGAAUAACUGAGGGAAACCUUAGCUAAUACCGCAUAACACCUACGGGUCAAAGGAGCAAUUCGCUUAAGGAGGGGGUCGCGGCAGAUUAGUUAGUUGGCGGGGUAAUGGCCCACCAAGACAGUGAUCUGUA
This 245-nucleotide ribosomal RNA is filed under the name uncultured bacterium. Its description in RNAcentral is "partial small subunit ribosomal RNA". It matches the Rfam family "Bacterial small subunit ribosomal RNA", at positions 26 to 285 of the family's 1533-position model. The record is from RNAcentral.